Molecule: ribosomal RNA, 253 nt
Filed under: uncultured bacterium
Lineage: Bacteria
Description: partial 16S ribosomal RNA
Rfam family: Bacterial small subunit ribosomal RNA
Source: RNAcentral
UACGUAGGGGGCAAGCGUUGUCCGGAUUUAUUGGGUUUAAAGGGUGCGUAGGCGGCCCUGUAAGUCAGUGCUGAAAUAUCCCAGCUUAACUGGGAGGGUGGCAUUGAUACUGCGGGGCUAGAGUACAGAUGAGGUAGGCGGAAUUGAUUGUGUAGCGGUGAAAUGCAUAGAUACAAUCAAGAACACCGAUUGCGUAGGCAGCUUACUAGGCUGUAACUGACGCUGAGGCACGAAAGCGUGGGGAGCGAACAGG